RNAcentral lists this transfer RNA (73 nucleotides) under Trichonephila inaurata madagascariensis. RNAcentral's name for it is "tRNA-Thr". Lineage: Eukaryota; Metazoa; Arthropoda; Arachnida; Araneae; Nephilidae. The record is from RNAcentral.
GCCCAGCCAGUAUGGUGGAUAUGACAAUCGGCUUGUAACUGAGUGUGUUCGGGUUCGAAUCCCGAGUAAGGUA